Fukomys damarensis (Damara mole-rat) is the source of this 345-nucleotide long non-coding RNA. RefSeq lists it as uncharacterized. Lineage: Eukaryota; Metazoa; Chordata; Mammalia; Rodentia; Bathyergidae. The transcript has 3 exons. The record is from RefSeq and is a predicted model, not a curated record.
AAGCGUGACUGGCGGCUUGACUGGCCUGAGACACGCCUAGUCACAGUGAUGCUGAGCCUUGCUGAGACUGAGCACCCACCUGCCGCCCACGUGUUCACCGCCGAGUGCCACCUGGCUGAAUGGACCCAAAUACGGCUUCUUCAGGACACUGCAAACUGUCCAUCUGUCUCACUGCUGUGACAAAAUAUGUGGGACUGCACAACAUAUAUGGAAAAGAACAUUCAGCACACAGCUGGAGCGUGGCUGAUAAGAGAGCCCACAGUUUCUUCUUAUGCUUUAGCUCAACCACACAUCCCAACAGACUGGAGGCAGAAGCAGAGAUGGGAACUCAGUUGUCUUCUCUUA